This 1756-nucleotide unclassified non-coding RNA is filed under the name Leishmania donovani. RNAcentral describes it as "gene:LdHU3.33.2850(CDS-product:small_GTP-binding_ protein_Rab18_putative)". Lineage: Eukaryota; Euglenozoa; Kinetoplastea; Trypanosomatida; Trypanosomatidae. The record is from RNAcentral.
UCCAUGAGAACACAUACGCAGUGCCACGAAAGGAGAAAAACAGAGUAACAGACAGAAAGGCUAUUCAAAGCAGACGUAUACGCAAUUACAGGGAGCGUCAACGACGCGCACAUCACGCAGCGCGCCUUCUUCUGUCCCCCUUGUAGCCAACACAAGAUCCGACUUUGUGGUAAUACUCGACAAGCUUCUCUUGCGUUUCCACUCUCAUUACCGCCUCUUUUGUGUAUUUCUGUAAAGGCGGGUAACGCAGGCGGUUGGCCAAAAUAUACCAAGAGAGGCUUCUGCUUUUUCCUUUUUUUCUUGCAUUGACUCUUCUUGCUCAGCUGGUCAUGGGAUCUACCACCGGUGCGGACAAGACCAUCAAGGUCCUCCUCAUCGGCGACAGCGGUGUGGGUAAGUCCUCCCUGCUGCUCUCCUUCACCACUGGGGCCUUUGAUGAGAAUAUUUCGUCGACCAUCGGCAUCGAUUUCAAGGUGAAGAAGGUGGACGUCGUAGAUGCCCACACAGGCGGCAAAACUACCGUGAACCUGCAGCUAUGGGAUACGGCAGGACAGGAGCGCUUCCGUACCUUGACCAGCUCAUACUAUCGUGGUGCACAGGCUGUUGUACUCGUCUACGAUGUUAACGAUCCGCAGUCUUUCCACGGUCUCAAGAAGUGGCUUGAUGAAGCGAAUAGCUACUGCCGCCGUGACGAGGCGGAGAGCAGUAGCAUGGUGUUCCUGCUGAUCGGCAACAAGACGGACCUGUGCCCUGAUGAGAACUACAUGCCGCUGCCCUGCUCGACAGCGCAAGGGUUUGCCCAGCAGAACAACAUGCUUUUCGCCCUCACCUCUGCUAAGACAAGGAUUGGGGUGGCGCAGGCAUUUGACGAGGUGGCGCGUAGUGUGUAUGAUAAGUUGCAGGACUUGGAGCAGUACGAGCGACGUCGGAUCACGAACUUGAACGAUGGCAGCAGCAACGGCGGUGGACAGGGCUGCUGCUAGGGCAAGCUGUACCACACCAAACUGAGAAAGGUGCGAGGAACGGUUCAUAAGAGUAGAGGCAGAGCCGCGGUGUGCGGCGCAUGCUUGCAUCAGCCGAUUCGAGUACAGGAACCCAUACGCAUAUUUUCCAGCAUGUGAUGAGGGAGGCAUAACUGGGUACUGAGCAGGAGCCGCAGGUGCGGCACACACAGACGAGAUGUGGAAGGGGGGGGUGCACUCAGCUAUGCGCCUCUUGGUAUUCCUGACAUCGUGCUUCCCCCUCAUUUGUGCAGUGCCUUCUCCGUCUUUCCAUUGGCUGCCUCUUUCUUUGUCUCCCUGCGGCUCAGUCCCUUUUCUGCCGCUGGUUGCCCGCCUUAAGCCAGACAUAAGGCGCACGGCUGGCCCUACAGCUAGAACUUGCCUGGCCCGUCACCUUUUUUAAUUCCACCACCGCCUUUCCACACCCUCCCUCACUCUGCAGAGCGUAUGCGCCACGGCCUCCCUCUUCUCUUCUCCUGUCGAGACGCUUCUCCCUUUUUUUUUUCGUGUUGUCUUUGCUUCACCGCGGCGUGGCUUCCCCGUGCUUCUCCUGCCUUAGCUUGCAAAGGUGUAUCCGUUGCCCUGUGCAUAUAUAUGUGUGUGCGUGUGUUGCGUUUGUUUUCCCUUUUCCGUGUACGAUUUACGCUGAGAGGCACGGCAUUGCCUCGCUGCCUUUUUUUCCCUCUACGGUGAUGAGGCUCAUCCGCCCUCCCUUUCCCUUCCCCUCUGCGAGUUACAGGUCCAGCGCCGCCUUU